Molecule: transfer RNA, 52 nt
Filed under: Paratemnoides elongatus
Lineage: Eukaryota; Metazoa; Arthropoda; Arachnida; Pseudoscorpiones; Atemnidae
Description: tRNA-Ser
Source: RNAcentral
ACUGGAACCUUGAAUCUUAGAGAAUUUAUUUUGAAAAUAAAAGUUUAUGGGU